This 388-nucleotide ribosomal RNA is filed under the name uncultured bacterium. RNAcentral describes it as "bacterial SSU rRNA". It matches the Rfam family "Bacterial small subunit ribosomal RNA", at positions 28 to 416 of the family's 1533-position model. The record is from RNAcentral.
GACGAACGCUGGCGGCGUGCUUAACACAUGCAAGUCGAGCGGUAAGGCCCUUUCGGGGGUACACGAGCGGCGAACGGGUGAGUAACACGUGGGUGACCUGCCCUCGGCUCUGGGAUAAGCCUGGGAAACCGGGUCUAAUACCGGAUAUGACUCCAUGACGCAUGUUGUGGGGUGGAAAGCCUUGUGCGGCUGAGGAUGGGCCCGCGGCCUAUCAGCUUGUUGGUGGGGUGAUGGCCUACCAAGGCGACGACGGGUAGCCGGCCUGAGAGGGCGACCGGCCACACUGGGACUGAGACACGGCCCAGACUCCUACGGGAGGGCAGCAGUGGGGAAUCUUGCGCAAUGGGCGAAAGCCUGACGCAGCGACGCCGCGUGAGGGAUGACGGCC